GACGAACGCUGGCGGCGUGCCUAAUACAUGCAAGUAGAACGCUGAAGAGAGGAGCUUGCUCUUCUUGGAUGAGUUGCGAACGGGUGAGUAACGCGUAGGUAACCUGCCUUGUAGCGGGGGAUAACUAUUGGAAACGAUAGCUAAUACCGCUUAACAAUGGAUGACACAUGUCAUUUGUUUGAAAGGGGCAAUUGCUCCACUACAAGAUGGACCUGCGUUGUAUUAGCUAGUAGGUGAGGUAACGGCUCACCUAGGCGACGAUACAUAGCCGACCUGAGAGGGUGAUCGGCCACACUGGGACUGAGACACGGCCCAGACUCCUACGGGAGGCAGCAGUAGGGAAUCUUCGGCAAUGGGGGCAACCCUGACCGAGCAACGCCGCGUGAGUGAAGAAGGUUUUCGGAUCGUAAAGCUCUGUUGUAAGUCAAGAACGAGUGUGAGAGUGGAAAGUUCACACUGUGACGGUAGCUUACCAGAAAGGGACGGCUAACUACGUG
RNAcentral lists this ribosomal RNA (497 nucleotides) under uncultured bacterium. RNAcentral's name for it is "partial 16S ribosomal RNA". It matches the Rfam family "Bacterial small subunit ribosomal RNA", at positions 28 to 507 of the family's 1533-position model. The record is from RNAcentral.